This 825-nucleotide long non-coding RNA is filed under the name Marmota monax (woodchuck). Lineage: Eukaryota; Metazoa; Chordata; Mammalia; Rodentia; Sciuridae. The record is from RNAcentral.
CUUAAAUUUACAGAUACACCAUUACAUAUAAAUGGUCUAAAUAUUUUAUUCAAUGUCAGAUUGGAUCAGAUAGUAAUGUUCAAUGCUCUGGUUGUCGGUCCACUGUCUCUUAGCUCUAGAGCCUCCCUUCUUAGCCAUUUGUGACACUGACAGUUCUCCCUUGCCACUUGGAAUAUAUUAGGCUAUAUCAGCAGAGGGCACUGCAGAGAGUCUUCGACAUUUCCAUUUGCUCUUAGGCAUCACACUUUCCCUUUCAAAACAUUGUGUUGUUUGUCUCUUGUUUGGAUCCUGACUAUGUAAAACUGCCACCAGGAGUGGUCCCACGAGAUAAUCCCCAUAAAAAUGGGAUUUGGAGGUUUGUUUGGUUGUGCCCCUGGUCUUGAAGGCAAAGCUGAACUUCCUGCCAAUGAGAAAUGGUAUGCUAAUAAUUCCUAGCAUGCAGUGACAUCCAAACUAGUCACAUGUGGCCAAGUGCCAAAAGCAUGUGCCUUCAGAGGCCAGUUGGCUGGAGCUCUUGACCAUCGUAACAGGGAUGAUGACCAUGAAGACUGUGAUGUGGGGUGAAUUCUUUUGUGGUUACUUGAUUGCUUACCAAAUGAAAAUGAAAUAUAUUUAUCCUUUAAUUCUCAGUGUAAGUAAUAGUCUGAGAACCAGAAAUCUUCCAUGAUAACUCUAAAAGAUUCUCCAGUUUCUUGUAGGCACUGGGCUGAUAUCACGUGAAAUGAAACAAAAACUUAAUUGUGUAGGUUGAUGAAUCACACUAUCAUUUGAGUUCAGUCUUAUCAAGUUUUGCAUGUGAAAGGGCAUUGACAAGAAAGAAUGGGA